RNAcentral lists this ribosomal RNA (463 nucleotides) under uncultured Desulfobulbus sp. Its description in RNAcentral is "bacterial SSU rRNA". It matches the Rfam family "Bacterial small subunit ribosomal RNA", at positions 925 to 1382 of the family's 1533-position model. Lineage: Bacteria; Pseudomonadati; Thermodesulfobacteriota; Desulfobulbia; Desulfobulbales; Desulfobulbaceae. The record is from RNAcentral.
ACAAGCGGUGGAGUAUGUGGUUUAAUUCGAUGCAACGCGAAGAACCUUACCUGGCCUUGACAUCCCGGGAAUUUCCUGGAAACAGGAGAGUGCUUUCAUUAGAGAGAACCUGGAGACAGGUGCUGCAUGGCUGUCGUCAGCUCGUGUCGUGAGAUGUUGGGUUAAGUCCCGCAACGAGCGCAACCCUUGCCUUUAGUUGCCAGCAGUUCGGCUGGGCACUCUAAAGGGACUGCCGGUGUCAAACCGGAGGAAGUGGGGAUGACGUCAAGUCCUCAUGGCCUUUAUGGCCAGGGCUACACACGUACUACAAUGGCCGGUACAAAGGGCAGCGACAUUGCGAGAUGGAGCGAAUCCCGAAAAAGCCGGUCUCAGUCCGGAUUGGAGUCUGCAACUCGACUCCAUGAAGUUGGAAUCGCUAGUAAUCGUGGAUCAGCAUGCCACGGUGAAUACGUUCCCGGGCCUU